UGGCCGUAAACGAUGUGGACUUGGUGUUGGAAUGGCUCCGAGCUGCUCCAGUGCCGAAGGGAAGCUGUUAAGUCCACCGCCUGGGAAGUACGGUCGCAAGACUGAAACUUAAAGGAAUUGGCGGGGGGAGCACCACAACGCGUGGAGCCUGCGGUUUAAUUUGGAUUCAACGCCGGACAUCUCACCAGGGGCGACAGCGGAAUGAUGGCCAGGUUGAUGACCUUGCUUGACAAGCUGAGAGGAGGUGCAUGGCGUGUGACUGU
This 263-nucleotide ribosomal RNA is filed under the name uncultured archaeon. RNAcentral describes it as "partial 16S ribosomal RNA". It matches the Rfam family "Archaeal small subunit ribosomal RNA", at positions 748 to 1008 of the family's 1478-position model. The record is from RNAcentral.